This 253-nucleotide ribosomal RNA is filed under the name uncultured bacterium. Its description in RNAcentral is "partial 16S ribosomal RNA". It matches the Rfam family "Bacterial small subunit ribosomal RNA", at positions 524 to 776 of the family's 1533-position model. The record is from RNAcentral.
UACGUAGGGGGCAAGCGUUGUCCGGAAUCAUUGGGCGUAAAGAGCGCGUAGGCGGUCCGGUAAGUCCGCUGUGAAAGUCAAGGGCUCAACCCUUGAAUGCCGGUGGAUACUGUCGGGCUAGAGUCCGGAAGAGGCGAGUGGAAUUCCUGGUGUAGCGGUGAAAUGCGCAGAUAUCCGGAGGAACACCAGUGGCGAAGGCGACUUUCUGGCCUGUUCUUGACGCUGAGGCGCGAAAGCUAGGGGAGCAAACGGG